GAUCCCCUCAAUCAAUCAUUGGCAUUUCGGAGAUUACUUAUGCCGGGCAUGGAAUGAACAUGCAACAGUGGAGGGAGUCAUGCACGUUCGUUAUGAAGGUGAGAAAGCACGGAGUGGAGGCAAGACAGGAACAUUCUCCGGCACUCCUGUAAUCAUUGCCGUAAUCAUUGCUAUUUACUUCCUGCUGCUGAUCAUUGUACUGGUGGCGAGGUGCAAAGGAGAUUCUGCAGACACUGGAAAUCCAGAGGAACCGGCACAAAAGGCUGGAGGAACUCAGCAGUGAAAUUGGAAUUCGACUCGUUUUGACCUCACUUUUGAAAAAGCCUUGACUUAAAAUGUUGUGGAAAAUGAAGGGCUCGUUGAUCUUGACUGCGCUUGGAACCUGGGAAAUAAUUUGUGGGAUCGCUGCUGGUGGGAAUGAUUGAACAGUGUGUGAACAGCUACCCUGACAUCGACUGGAGGAGACAUGGUUCCAAACUCUGGAAUCCAUUGUUGGAUUGUGCUGUAGAAUGGCUGCUCUUCCUGUAGUUUAAAUUUCUUCUGCUUAUUUGUAUUUUUAGAUACUCAUCAUAUCAAUGUUAUAGUUUAGUGAGCUUUCCAGUGCCUUCAGUGCACCUGCAUCUUUCUGAAAACUAACUAGUUUUACUGGCCGGUAUUGAAUUACUCGAACAGAGGCAAUCUCAUUGGUUAAUUUAAACAAUGAAAUGUAUGCUGUCAGUAGUCUGGUAUAAGAAGACCAGACCAUAUUCUUUUAUGGUUUCUUUUCUUUUUGCUCUUUAUUUUUCUUUGUUCUUGUAACACUUAAUAAAAGAAUCAGAAGCAAUAA
Long non-coding RNA from Hypanus sabinus (Atlantic stingray), 826 nucleotides. RefSeq lists it as uncharacterized. NCBI's taxonomy places the organism in Eukaryota, Metazoa, Chordata, Chondrichthyes, Myliobatiformes, Dasyatidae. The record is from RefSeq and is a predicted model, not a curated record. The transcript is spliced from 3 exons.